Molecule: ribosomal RNA, 253 nt
Filed under: uncultured bacterium
Lineage: Bacteria
Description: partial 16S ribosomal RNA
Rfam family: Bacterial small subunit ribosomal RNA
Source: RNAcentral
GACGGAAGGUGCAAGCGUUGCUCGGAAUCACUGGGCGUAAAGGGUGCGUAGGCGGCCGUGUAAGUCUGGCGUGAAAGCCCCGGGCUCAGCCCGGGAAGUGCGCUCGAAACUGCGCGGCUCGAGUGCCGGAGGGGAGAGUGGAAUUCCUGGUGUAGCGGUGAAAUGCGUAGAUAUCGGGAGGAACACCAGUGGCGAAGGCGGCAACCUGGGCCAAUAUUGACGCUGAGGUGCGAAAGCGUGGGGAGCAAACAGG